CGUGCCUAACACAUGCAAGUCGAACGAAGCUUGACGGAUGAUUUCUUCGGAAUGAAACCUGAUAUGACUUAGUGGCGGACGGGUGAGUAACACGUGAGCAACCUGCCUUUCAGAGGGGGAUAACGGCUGGAAACGGUCGCUAAUACCGCAUGAUGUGUUCGGAUGGCAUCAUCUGAACAUCAAAGAUUUAUCGCUGAAAGAUGGGCUCGCGUCUGAUUAGAUAGUUGGUGGGGUAACGGCCUACCAAGUCUACGAUCAGUAGCCGGACUGAGAGGUUGAACGGCCACAUUGGGACUGAGAUACGGCCCAGACUCCUACGGGAGGCAGCAGUGGGGAAUAUUGCACAAUGGGGGAAACCCUGAUGCAGCAACGCCGCGUGAAGGAUGACGGUUUUCGGAUUGUAAACUUCUUUUCUUAGUGACGAAGACAGUGACGGUAGCUAAGGAAUAAGUAUCGGCUAACUACGUGCCAGCAGCCGCGGUAAUACGUAGGAUGCAAGCGUUAUCCGGAUUUACUGGGUGUAAAGGGAGCGCAGGCGGGACUGCAAGUUGGAUGUGAAAUACCGUGGCUUAACCACGGAACUGCAUCCAAAACUGUAGUUCUUGAGUGAAGUAGAGGCAAGCGGAAUUCCGAGUGUAGCGGUGAAAUGCGUAGAUAUUCGGAGGAACACCAGUGGCGAAGGCGGCUUGCUGGGCUUUAACUGACGCUGAGGCUCGAAAGUGUGGGGAGCAAACAGGAUUAGAUACCCUGGUAGUCCACACUGUAAACGAUGAUAGCUAGGUGUGGGGGGUCUGACCCCUUCCGUGCCGGAGUUAACGCAAUAAGCUAUCCACCUGGGGAGUACGACCGCAAGGUUGAAACUCAAAGGAAUUGACGG
This 877-nucleotide ribosomal RNA is filed under the name uncultured bacterium. RNAcentral describes it as "bacterial SSU rRNA". It matches the Rfam family "Bacterial small subunit ribosomal RNA", at positions 43 to 916 of the family's 1533-position model. The record is from RNAcentral.